Molecule: ribosomal RNA, 332 nt
Filed under: uncultured Treponema sp.
Lineage: Bacteria; Pseudomonadati; Spirochaetota; Spirochaetia; Treponematales; Treponemataceae
Description: bacterial SSU rRNA
Rfam family: Bacterial small subunit ribosomal RNA
Source: RNAcentral
CUAAGGAAUAUUUCCGGCAAUGGAGGAAACUCUGACGGAGCGACGCCGCGUGGAUGAUGAAGGUCGGAAGAUUGUAAAAUCCUUUUAUGACUGAGGAAUAAGUACGUUGAGAGAAACGGCGUAUGGUGACUGUAGGUCAUGAAUAAGCAACGGCUAAUUACGUGCCAGCAGCCGCGGUAACACGUAAGUUGCGAGCGUUGUUCGGAAUUAUUGGGCGUAAAGGGCAUGUAGGCGGUAUUGCAAGCCUGGUGUGAAAGGCAGGGGCUCAACCCCUGGACUGCGCUGGGAACUGCAUUACUAGAGUCGCUGAGGGGCAAUCAGAAUUCCAGGUG